This is a long non-coding RNA of Neodiprion virginianus, 122 nucleotides long. RefSeq lists it as uncharacterized. The record is from RefSeq and is a predicted model, not a curated record. The transcript has 2 exons. NCBI's taxonomy places the organism in Eukaryota, Metazoa, Arthropoda, Insecta, Hymenoptera, Diprionidae.
CCUCGAGACACCCACUCACACGCCGACGACACCAGAAACACAACAUGGAAAAUCAGCAAACAAAAAUACCGGCCCUGAUGACACUGCGACUGACGAGACCGACGACAACGACGACACAAACA